AUUGAACGCUGGCGGCAUGCUUUACACAUGCAAGUCGGACGAGUGGCGAACGGGUGAGUAACGCAUCGGAACCUACCGAGUAUCGGGGGAUAACUGCUCGAAAGGACAGCUAAUACCGCAUAUCAUUCGAGGGGCCCCUGUCGGAUUAGCUGGUUGGCGGGGUAAAGGCCCACCAAGGCGACGAUCAGUAGCGGGUCUGAGAGGAUGAUCCGCCACACUGGGACUGAGACACGGCCCAGACUCCUACGGGAGGCAGCAGUGGGGAAUUUUGGACAAUGGGCGCAAGCCUGAUCCAGCCAUGCCGCGUGUCUGAAGAAGGCCUUCGGGUUGUAAAGUACUUUUGUCAGGGAGGCGGUACCUGAAGAAUAAGCACCGGCUAACUACGUGCCAGCCGCCGCGGUAAUAC
This 406-nucleotide ribosomal RNA is filed under the name uncultured bacterium. Its description in RNAcentral is "partial 16S ribosomal RNA". It matches the Rfam family "Bacterial small subunit ribosomal RNA", at positions 30 to 526 of the family's 1533-position model. The record is from RNAcentral.